This 559-nucleotide ribosomal RNA is filed under the name uncultured Enterobacteriaceae bacterium. Its description in RNAcentral is "bacterial SSU rRNA". It matches the Rfam family "Bacterial small subunit ribosomal RNA", at positions 61 to 609 of the family's 1533-position model. The record is from RNAcentral. Lineage: Bacteria; Pseudomonadati; Pseudomonadota; Gammaproteobacteria; Enterobacterales; Enterobacteriaceae.
GUCGAGCGGCAGCGGGAAGUAGCUUGCUACUUUGCCGGCGAGCGGCGGACGGGUGAGUAAUGUCUGGGAAACUGCCUGAUGGAGGGGGAUAACUACUGGAAACGGUAGCUAAUACCGCAUGACCUCGCAAGAGCAAAGUGGGGGACCUUCGGGCCUCACGCCAUCGGAUGUGCCCAGAUGGGAUUAGCUAGUAGGUGAGGUAAUGGCUCACCUAGGCGACGAUCCCUAGCUGGUCUGAGAGGAUGACCAGCCACACUGGAACUGAGACACGGUCCAGACUCCUACGGGAGGCAGCAGUGGGGAAUAUUGCACAAUGGGCGCAAGCCUGAUGCAGCCAUGCCGCGUGUGUGAAGAAGGCCUUAGGGUUGUAAAGCACUUUCAGCGAGGAGGAAGGGUUCAGUGUUAAUAGCACUGAGCAUUGACGUUACUCGCAGAAGAAGCACCGGCUAACUCCGUGCCAGCAGCCGCGGUAAUACGGAGGGUGCAAGCGUUAAUCGGAAUUACUGGGCGUAAAGCGCACGCAGGCGGUUUGUUAAGUCAGAUGUGAAAUCCCCGAGCU